AUUGAACGCUGGCGGCAUGCUUUACACAUGCAAGUCGAACGGCAGCGCGGGCUUCGGCCUGGCGGCGAGUGGCGAACGGGUGAGUAAUGCAUCGGAACGUGCCCAGUAGUGGGGGAUAGCCCGGCGAAAGCCGGAUUAAUACCGCAUACGACCUGAGGGUGAAAGCGGGGGACCGAAAGGCCUCGCGCUAUUGGAGCGGCCGAUGUCGGAUUAGCUAGUUGGUGGGGUAAAGGCUUACCAAGGCGACGAUCCGUAGCUGGUCUGAGAGGACGACCAGCCACACUGGGACUGAGACACGGCCCAGACUCCUAAGGGAGGCAGCAGUGGGGAAUUUUGGACAAUGGGGGCAAACCUGAUCCAGCCAAGCCGCGUGCGGGAAGAAGGCCUUCGGGUUGUAAAACGCUUUUGUUCGGGAAGAAAUCCUCUGGGCUAAUACCCCGGGGGGAUGACGGUACCGGAAGAAUAAGCACCGGCUAACUACGUG
This 484-nucleotide ribosomal RNA is filed under the name uncultured bacterium. RNAcentral describes it as "partial 16S ribosomal RNA". It matches the Rfam family "Bacterial small subunit ribosomal RNA", at positions 29 to 507 of the family's 1533-position model. The record is from RNAcentral.